This is a long non-coding RNA of Mauremys reevesii (Reeves's turtle), 2079 nucleotides long. RefSeq lists it as uncharacterized. The record is from RefSeq and is a predicted model, not a curated record. The transcript is spliced from 3 exons. NCBI's taxonomy places the organism in Eukaryota, Metazoa, Chordata, Testudines, Geoemydidae.
GAGUGUGAAAACUGCAAUAAGUAUUUGUAAAAAGAUGUUGCAGUUAGUGUAUUGAUAAGGGUCCAAUCAACAUUCAGAAAUGUACAACUAUUCUCCAGGUUUCAUUUUACAAGCCUGGAUUCAAACAAUAGCUGUCUCUCAGUAGGCAUUAUUAGAAGAGGUACUAAAUUAAUUAAUUAAUACUCUUAUUGAAUAGAUACUAUUAUUAGUGGUGGGUUAACCUGAAAAUGUUCAGAGGUUCACUUCAGAAAAUCCAACCCUAAGCUGCGACUCCUUCAAUUUCAGCUCAGUGCUGGCCCUUGGCAAUUGUUCCUGUUUCCUAUCUGACUUCAGCUCUGAUCCCGGGCUUGACUCUCAACCCCAACUCCUGAUCCAACCACAAGAUCUAACUUCCCAAGUCCCAGUUGUGACCCCACCUUACUAUAGGCCAAAGAUGCCACCCAUACCUUGUGUAUCUUCCUGUUACAGGCUAGAUAUCACAAUAUUCCCCCUCCAAGCAUAGAUCAAAAUCAAUAUCCUCCAUUCAGAGGGCCCAAAUUCACCCGUACUCUUUUACACUGAACAAAUAGAGGCCUCACAACAGUUACAGAACAGUUAUACUGAGGAAAGUUACAUUGCAAAACUAUUACUCAUAUGGCACUGGUGUACUUUAAUCUAGAUACUCAGCAGAACAGACAUGCAUUUCAUGUGGCAAGUGAUCAGCACUACGGGGGCAUAUGCAGAAGGUGGCCAGGAAUAUGGAGACAGAAUUAAGGCCAUUUGUCAUAGAAUAAGCACUGCAGUUAGAGCUGGCUGAAGCAUGUUCGAUUUAUCUGCAUAUGAGAGUUCCCAAAAAUGCACUAAUACGGUAUUAAAAUACCAUUAAUGUGAUGGCAAGUAGUUCACAGCCACGGAAAUGAAAGUCAUGGUCAAAGAAAAAUUGGAAGCUUUGGACAGGCUGAAAUCAGGAAUGAGCCAAGCGAAGGUCUCAAAAGAACUAGAAGGAGGGGAAUCAACAUUAAGAGGGUGGAUCAAAGAUGAGGAAAAAUUAUGAUCAAUGCUAGUUGAACUGGAUGAAAGUGAAGGCCUGGAAAGGAAGCGCCUAAAAACUGCCCAGAUAACCAUCUAGACAGAGCAGUAUUGAUGUGGUUUACCCAAGAACGCUCCGACGGCACGCCAAUUUCCAGUGACAUUAUAAGGAAACAAGCGGAGAAACUGAAGAAGGAUCUCGAUUUUUAGAUGCUCAGGCGAGGAUGCUUCUGCACAUCAAGGUAACGAAUUUAAAGCUAGCUGUGGAUGGCUUAAUGGUUUUGAAAACGUCAUGGCAUUUGGCAAAUCACAAUUUCAGGAGAGACGUGCUCCGUAGAUAUAAAAGCUUGUGACAAAUACCCACUAAAGUUACAAGAGAUCAUCAUCGAGGGUAGCUAUGUUCCGGAGCAAAUCUAUAACGCUGAUGAAACCGGCUUAUGUUACCGUAUGCUGCCGGAUAGAACACUUGCUUCUAGGACCAAAGAACAAAAGGCCAAAGGUUUUAAGGUGAUAAAAGAGAGAGUGACAAUACUUUUUUGCAUGAAUAAAACUGGUUCACAUAAACUUAAACCUCUGUGCACAGGCAGAUCCAGGUCACCUAGGGCUUUCCACCAUAAGAACAUGGAUUCGGUUUCAUUCAUUUAUCUCCAUUCAAAAAAUGCCUGGAUGACAUCGGAUAUUUUCAAGGAAUGGUUUAAGAAAUAUUUUGUACCAGCUGUCUGGAGCCACAUACGCAGAUAAAACCUAGAGCCAAAGGCAUUGCUUCUGCUUGACAACUGUCCCACCCACCCCCCAGUUGAGACCUUAACCAGCAAAGACGGGAAGAUAAAGGUGAGCUACCUUCCUAAGAACACGACAUCCAAAAUACAGCCCCUCGAUCAAGGCAUUAUAGCCAAAUUUAAAAUGAACUAUCGUAAAGCCCUAGUAAAGAAAACUGUUGAGGACAACUCAAUGCAGCAAUGCCCCUCUGCCAAGUACAUUGACCAAACCGGACAGUCUCUAUGUAAAAGAAUAAAUGAACACAAAUCAGACGUCGAGAAUUAUAACAUUCAAAAACCAGUUGAAGAACAC